GCCUUUGUGGUGUAAUGGUAGCACACUUAGAACGUAUUUCAGAGGUCCAGGUUCGAGUCCUGGCGAGGGCA
Molecule: transfer RNA, 71 nt
Filed under: Stegodyphus mimosarum
Lineage: Eukaryota; Metazoa; Arthropoda; Arachnida; Araneae; Eresidae
Rfam family: tRNA
About the family: Transfer RNA (tRNA) molecules are approximately 80 nucleotides in length.
Source: Rfam by way of RNAcentral